Molecule: ribosomal RNA, 491 nt
Filed under: uncultured bacterium
Lineage: Bacteria
Description: partial 16S ribosomal RNA
Rfam family: Bacterial small subunit ribosomal RNA
Source: RNAcentral
AGUGAACGCUGGCGGUAGGCCUAACACAUGCAAGUCGAACGGCAGCACAGUAAGAGCUUGCUCUUACGGGUGGCGAGUGGCGGACGGGUGAGGAAUACAUCGGAAUCUACUUUUUCGUGGGGGAUAACGAGGGAAACUUACGCUAAUACCGCAUACGACCUACGGGUGAAAGCAGGGGAUCUUCGGACCUUGCGCGAUUGAAUGAGCCGAUGUCGGAUUAGCUAGUUGGCGGGGUAAAGGCCCACCAAGGCGACGAUCCGUAGCUGGUCUGAGAGGAUGAUCAGCCACACUGGAACUGAGACACGGUCCAGACUCCUACGGGAGGCAGCAGUGGGGAAUAUUGGACAAUGGGCGCAAGCCUGAUCCAGCCAUACCGCGUGGGUGAAGAAGGCCUUCGGGUUGUAAAGCCCUUUUGUUGGGAAAGAAAAGCAGCAGGUUAAUACCCCGCUGUUCUGACGGUACCCAAAGAAUAAGCACCGGCUAACUUCGUG